CCUACGGGAGGCAGCAGUGAGGAAUAUUGGUCAAUGGGCGAGAGCCUGCACCAGCCAAGUCGCGUGAGGGCGUACUGCCCUAUGGGUUGUAAACCUCUUUUGUCGGGGAGCAAAAGCCGGACGUGUCCGGCUGUGAGAGUACCCGAAGAAAAAGCAUCGGCUAACUCCGUUCCAGCAGCCGCGGUAAUACGGAGGAUGCGAGCGUUAUCCGGCGUUAUGGGGUUUAAAGGGUUCGCAGGCGGAUUUUUAAGUCAGCGGUCAAAUCGUGGGGCUCAACCCCAUCCAGCCGUUGAAACUGGUGAUCUAGAGUGUGCGAGAGGUAUGCGGAAGGCGUGGUGUAGCGGUGAAAUGCAUAGAUAUCACGCAGAACCCCGAUUGCGAAGGCAGCAUACCGGUGCACAACUGACGCUCAGGCACGAAAGCGUGGGUAUCGAACAGGAUUAGAUACCCUUGUAGUC
Molecule: ribosomal RNA, 458 nt
Filed under: uncultured bacterium
Lineage: Bacteria
Description: partial 16S ribosomal RNA
Rfam family: Bacterial small subunit ribosomal RNA
Source: RNAcentral